GCCGGCAUGGCUCAGUGGUUGAGCAUCGACCUGUGAACUCAAGGGUCCCGAGUUCAAUUCCCGGUCAGGGCU
RNAcentral lists this transfer RNA (72 nucleotides) under Myotis davidii. It matches the Rfam family "tRNA". From Rfam's summary of the family: Transfer RNA (tRNA) molecules are approximately 80 nucleotides in length. The record is from Rfam by way of RNAcentral. Lineage: Eukaryota; Metazoa; Chordata; Mammalia; Chiroptera; Vespertilionidae.